GGAAUGGAGCCGGCUGUCUAUGGACUGAGACUGAAACUGGUCUGGGAAGGAUGACGCUCCCAGUGUCUUAACUGAGCGAGGCCACGUGACUGGCUUUGACCAAUGAAAUAUGAACAGAAGCAAUUUCAGGCAGAGCAUUUUAAAGCCUCUGUGCAAUUCUCUACUCUUUCUUCACAUCCUGCAGUCACUAUGAAAAAAGAUGUGGACAUGGAAUUGUCAUAAGAUAGAAGCAGAGAUCACACCUGGAGGACAAUUACCCUGGACAGCACUCCCAUGCAAAGCUUUCUCUUUGUAAGCAAGAAAUAAACUUUUUUGUUAUGUUCAGCUACAAA
Molecule: long non-coding RNA, 332 nt
Organism: Marmota flaviventris (yellow-bellied marmot)
Lineage: Eukaryota; Metazoa; Chordata; Mammalia; Rodentia; Sciuridae
Source: RefSeq, a predicted model, not a curated record